UUUGGUCAUUAGGCAAUGUGGUGUUUAGGUUGGUCCUCAGAGGCACUGCUCCACUCUGAGUCCAGCAAUGAGUAUGGUAGCAUGGACAUGGCCCAUUGAGGGUGAAAGGCCCGUAAGAGUGGAGUUCAGGCAGGCCAGUGCCUCUCUGGAUUGACCAAAGAGUCGGGUUGUUUGAGAAUGCAGCCCAAAGUGGGUGGUAAACUCCAUCCCAGGCUAAAUACAAGCACGAGUCCGAUAGCAAACAAGUACCGUGAGGGAAAGUUGAAAAGUACUUUGAAGAGAGAGUAAACAGUGCGUGAAACCGCUCAGAGGUAAACGGGUGGAGUUGAACUGCAUGCUCCGUGAAUUCAGCUGGUGAGAUUGUUGUGGGCUUGGUCAUGUGGGGUGGACAAUGAGGUAUGCUUAGCUGCAUGUCCCGGCCGGCUGGUUGGGAUGCGCGAUACGCUCAUCAUGCGUUGCGCGCCUCUGCUGUUCAUCUGCCCUCUCUCCAGUGCAUUUUCGCGGAGUGUUCACCAAGACCGGCGUUGCUGUCCGGCUGCUUUAGUUAAACCGGUCUUACGCGUCCUUGUGGCGUUGUUUGGUCGGGACGGCAGGUAGCCCGUUGGCUUGCUUUGCAUGCUUUCGUGUGUAAUCAGCUGACUAAAGCGGGACUGUGCAGUACGUCGGAGCUGGCGGCCAGUUGUGCCUGCUCGUGCGUCAUGCCUUCCGAAGCAUCCUGUUCUGAUCGCCAUGUUGCCUGUCUCGGCAGGUCUGGUGGUGGACAGGGUUCUAUUGGUUGGUGGUACCUCGGGUAGCA
This 796-nucleotide ribosomal RNA is filed under the name Phyllodistomum sp. C_3. RNAcentral describes it as "partial large subunit ribosomal RNA". It matches the Rfam family "Eukaryotic large subunit ribosomal RNA", at positions 128 to 636 of the family's 3401-position model. Lineage: Eukaryota; Metazoa; Platyhelminthes; Trematoda; Plagiorchiida; Gorgoderidae. The record is from RNAcentral.